This 483-nucleotide ribosomal RNA is filed under the name uncultured bacterium. RNAcentral's name for it is "bacterial SSU rRNA". It matches the Rfam family "Bacterial small subunit ribosomal RNA", at positions 23 to 518 of the family's 1533-position model. The record is from RNAcentral.
GUCAGGAUGAACGCUGGCGGCGUGCUUAACACAUGCAAGUCGAACGGAGAUAUUGAAAGCUUGCUUUAGAUAUCUUAGUGGCGGACGGGUGAGUAACGCGUGGGUAACCUACCCUGUACAGGGGGAUAGCAGUUGGAAACGACUGAUAAAACCGCAUAAAACGGCAGUACCGCAUGGUACAACCGUCAAAUAUUCAUAGGUACAGGAUGGGCCCGCGUCUGAUUAGCUAGUUGGUGGGGCAACGGCCUACCAAGGCGACGAUCAGUAGCCGGCCUGAGAGGGUGAACGGCCACAUUGGGACUGAGACACGGCCCAAACUCCUACGGGAGGCAGCAGUGGGGAAUAUUGGACAAUGGGGGAAACCCUGAUCCAGCGACGCCCGCGUGAGUGAAGAAGUAUUUCGGUAUGUAAAGCUCUAUCAGCAGGGAAGAUGAUGACGGUACCUGACUAAGAAGCACCGGCUAAAUACGUGCCAGCAGCUGC